GAGUGGUUAAAAGAUAGAACAGUCUAGUCAAGUGCCAUGUCUCUUAUUCUUGAUCAGCUAUAGCUCUAGAGUUUUUGCAGAUUUUCAAAUAAAACUCAGAGAUUCCUUGUAUGAUUCUCUCAGGUCUCUCUUUUGUGGUAUUUUUGGAUCCUUACCAAGGCAGUGAUGGUAUAUGCCUUCUCUCAAGAUAUGUAGUAUUUGUGGUAUGAGGCAUAGUGACAUUGCCUUCUCUCUCACCCUACUCUAAUAAGGCUUUAAUAUCUGGAGCUCAUAGGUGGGAGAUAAAGUAUACAUACUUACAAGACAUUUAUUGCAUAGUCAAACCAUGGAUCCAAAGAAACAAAUCAAUAAGCCAAAUCAAGAUGUGCAUGUGUGGCGAAUGAAUGGUGUAUGGUGAUGAUGGUGAUAACAAUGGUGAAAACAAUGGUGGUGGAAGUCUAAUUCUACUUUGCUCUUUGAGGGGAUACAUACCUUUCUUGCUUUUGAAAUUUUAUGAGGAGAAUGAGAUGCUCUUCUUUUUCUUGUCUCUCAGGUGGGCAUAUUGUACCCCUAAUUCUACUGUCGGACAUUUGUCCAUUUUUACCUCUCGUCUCACUUUUUCUUUUCUUUCGAGGUUCCGAGCACUUGCUCCUUUUUAUUUCCUCGUAUUUAUAUAUAUAUAUAUAUUUUAGAGCACUCAUCUCUUGAGAUAAUAUAGCAAGUGGUAGUAACAAGAUAACUUGAGCAUUUAUUUCACAAGGGGAAAAUAGAAAUAUUUUUGGUUAUUCUCUCCCGGAUUUGGAGUAGAAUAUUUUUAGGUGGUUCUGGAGAUGGAAAUGAAUGGAUAUAUGUGGAUGGUACUUCCGGAGUAGAAGUAGCAUAUAUGAGUGAACGUGCAAGUGAAAUCUUGAUUUAACCACAUGACAAGCUCCUAAGGGUCUACACAGCUUGACCACACUCAAUGCUCAUAAGCAGUAAAUAUUAAAUGUGUGGCUCAAAGUCUAGCAAGCAAUGAAUUAGGGUUGAGAGGCUCUCUCCUCCAGGGGCCAGGGGGUCUGGUUUUAUAGUCCCUCCAAGUGAAUAUGGGCCCUUGGAUCAAACCGACAUAGAUUGUAUGGUUUAGAUUCAUCCUUUAGGUCAGUGGAGAUCUCCCGCAAAGCAGAGUCCUGAUUGGACUCAGGAGGUGGGCGGGCGCCCUGACCAACUGGGCGGCCGCCCAGGGUCAGGCCCCGUUUCGCCUCCGCUUCGGUCUCGUGGCUUCUGGAGUCUUCUAGAUGUAAGAUAAUUGCGCAGCAUGUUAAUAUCUUUACGUAAUCCCGACAUGUGGGCCUUUCUUCCAUAUUUCCUGAUAACCCCCUGCAGAAAUAGACAAACACCAAAACUCGUGGAAUUCUGUCAGAUAAAACCCUAAGUCUAGAUCUUGAUUUCAUUUGGAUCCUUUUCUUUAUUUAUUUGAUAAUUAAAUUUGAUACUUAAGGACCGUCAACAAGGAGUUGUUGGAGAAGGGUUUUAUUCAACCUAGUUCAUCUCCAUGGGGUUGCCCGGCCUUAUUUGUGAAAAAGAAAGAUUAGACAUUAAGGCUAUGUGUUGAUUAUCACCCCUUAAAUGAAGUGACGAUUAAAAACAAGUACCCAUUACCCCGCAUUGACCUGCAAUUUGAUCAGCUAGCCGGGGCUAAAGUAUUUUCAAAUAUUGAUUUAAGAUCUAGGUACCAUCAAAUCAAGAUUAAGCUAGAAGAUGUGCCCAAGAUGGCUUUCACAACCCGCUAUGGGCUGUAUGAGUAUCUGGUGAUGUCCUUUGGUUUAACCAAUGCACCAGCUCACUUCAUGUACUUGAUGAACUCCGUCUUCAUGCCAGAACUAGACAAAUUUGUAGUCAUAUUCAUUGAUGACAUCUUGAUCUAUUCUAAAACAAAGAAAGAACACCCUGAACAUUUGAGGAUUGUGUUGACCCGUUUGAGAGACCAUCAACUAUAUGCCAAGUUCAGCAAGUGUGAGUUCUGGCUGGAUAAAGUUCAUUUUCUGGGUCAUGUAUUAUUAGUGGAGGGAGUCGCUGUAGACCCAGGUAAAGUAGAAGAUGUUUUGAGUUGGAAGCCCCCUACUACGGUGCAUGAGGUCUGUAGCUUUUUGGGUAUGGUGGGAUAUUACCGCCGCUUCAUUCCUGACUUUUCAAGGGUAGCCAAGCCAAUCACAACCUUGCUCAAGAAUCAAACAAAAUUUGUUUGGUCGUCUGAAUGUUAGCAGGCCUUUCAAACCCUAAAAAGGUUGUUGACUACUGCACCUGUGUUAGCCCAGCUGAAUAUUGAGAAGCCCUUUGAUGUGUAUUGUGAAGCAUCAGGAAUAGGGAUAGGCUGUGUGCUGAUGCAGGAGGGUCGAGUAAUUGCAUAUGCAUCUAGGCUGCUUAAGCCCCACAAAGAGAAUUACCCAACCCAUGAUCUUGAGCUAGCCGCCGUAGUACAUGCUUUGAAGAUCUGGCACCACUACCUAUUGGGAAACACUUGUCAUCUAUGUACAGAUCAUAAGAGCUUGAAGUAUAUUUUUACUCAAGCUGAACUUAAUAUGCGCCAACAAAGGUGGCUAGAAUUGAUCAAAGACUACGAUCUUGAGGUGCAUUAUCACCCAGGCAAGGUGAAUGUAGUAGUAGAUGCCCUCAGUCGUAAGGCUCACUGUAAUUGCUUGACAGUGACACCUAGAGAUAUAACUCUGUGCCAGGAGAUUGAGAAUUUAGAAAUAGAGAUGAUUUCACAUGGGAGUCUAGCCAAUUUAAAGGUCGACUCCAAUCUCGAAGCUCAGAUCAUAGCAUCACAAAAAGAAGAUAAAGGCAUGAAAUACCUCAAAGAGAAAAUUGCUAGUAGAGCACCCACAGACUUUAAGGGGAUGAGGCAGGUCUGAUCUGGUUUAAAGAUCGGUUAGUAGCACCAAAGGUACCUGAGUUACAUCAGCAAAUCCUGGAUGAAACCCAUACCACAAGGUAUUCUAUUCACCCAUGAAGCAAUAAGAUGUAUCAGGACCUGAAGCAGAGGUUUUGGUGGACAAAGAUGAAGUUAGAAAUAGCUCGCUAUGUAGCCCAAUGUGACACUUGUCGAAAAGUCAAAGCCAUUCAUCUCAAAUCUGCUGGAGAGUUGCAACCCUUGCCUAUCCCAGCAUGGAAAUGGGACGAUAUUAGCAUGGAUUUCAUAGUGGGACUGCCCAAGAUAGCAAAAGGCUUUGAUUCUAUUUGGGUUAUUAUGGAUUGUCUUUCCAAAACGACACACUUUUUACCUGUGAAGAUAUUAUAUCUUGCUUCCACCUAUGCCAAGAUCUAUUUUGAUCGUAUAUUAAGUCUGCUUGGGGUGCCAAAGUGUAACACCAAAAAUUUUUGAUAUCAAUUAAUAGGAAUUAAUUUGAUUUAUUUAAGUAUUUUUGUGAGCAUUUGAAUCUAGCAAAUAAAUAAUUUUGUGAGAAUUAAAAUUCAACAUAAGAUUAGAAAUGUGACUUUGCAUUCAUGCUGGAGCAUAGUUAUUUUUGUGUUGCUUGUACUGUUUUUAUUUUAAUUGUUUUUGCUUCAAACCUCCUUUGGAAAAAGAAUUGAAAAAGAAUAUAAAAAGAAAAGGAGGAAGAACCCCAGCCACCCCAGUCCCUUUUCCUCUCUACUUGGAUGAAGAAUUGAAACCCUAGCUUUGAUUCUGUAGAAGAGGUAUGAUCUCCAGGGGCCUAGGGGGUCUGGUUUUAUAGUCCCUUCAAGUGAAUCUGGGCCGUCGGAUCAAACCGACAUUGAUCGCACGGUUUUCCUUGAUCCUUUAGGUCGGUGGAGCAUAAUACGCGAAACGGGUCCGAAUUGGACACUGUAGCUGGGCGGGCGCCCAGGAGAGUUGGGCGGGCGCCCUGCCUCCGAGCCCGAUUUCCUUCCCGUUCGUUCCCGUGGCUUCUGGAGUCUUCUAGAUGAUAGAAAAUUGCGCGACACGUUAAUAUCUCUAUGUAAACCCGACGUGUGGGCCUUUCUUCCGUAUUUCCUGAUAACCCCCUGCAGAAAUACACAAACACCAAAACUCGUAGAAUUCUGUCAGAUAAAACCCUAAGUCUAGGUGUUGGUUCCAUUUGGAUCCUUUUCCAUGAUUAGUUGAUGGUUAAAUAUGAGCAUUAAGGACCGUCAACAAGCUCCCCCAAGCUUAACCUUUGCUCGUCCCUGAGCAAAGAUGAACUCAAGAGUUUCUGCAGUGGUUUCAUACCUUAAAGAUACACAUGCGUUCAAACAAGAUCUCAUCUCUGGGUUAGGGUAAACUGUUAAGAUUUAAACUUACUCAUUUUACCUUCCACCAUGGGGCUUGCAACCGUCACCUGUGUCUUGAGCAGUUAAAAGAUAGAACGGUCUAAUCAAGCACCAUGUCUCUUGUUCUUUGAUUAACUAUAACUCUGGAGUUUUUGCAGAUUUUCAAAUAAAACUCAGAGAUUCCUUAUAUGACUCUCUCUAGUCUCUCUUUUGUGGUAUUUCUGGAUCCUUACCAAGGCAGUAAUGGUAUAUGCCUUCUCUCAAAGUAUGUAGUAUUUUUGGUAUGGGGCGUAGUGGCAUUGCCUUCUCUCUCACCCUACUCUAUAAGGUUUUGAUAUCUGGAGCUCAUAGGUGGAAGACAGCUAAUGCAUACUUACAAGACAUUUAUUGCAUAGUCAAACCAUGGAUCCAGAGAAACAAGUCAAUAAGUCAAAUCAAGAUGUGCAUGUGUGGCGAAUGAAUGGUGUAUGGUGAUGAUGGUGAUAAUGGUGAAAGUCUAAUUCUACUUGUGCUCUUUUGAGGGGAUACAUACCUUUCUUGCUCUUUUGAAACUUUUUGAGGAGAAUGAGAUGCUCUAUAUUUUCUUUUUCUUUUCUCUUAGGUGGGUAUCUUGUACCCCUAAUUCUACUGUCGGACACUUGUCCAUUUUUACCUCUCGUCUCACUUUUUCUUUUCUUUCGAGGUUCCGGGCACUUGCCCCUUUUUAUUUCCUCGUAUUCUUUCUCUCUUUUUUUUCUUUUUUUUCUUUUUUUUUAGAGCACUCAUCUCCUGAAAUAAUAUAGCAAGUGGUAGUAACCAAGAUAACUUGAGCAUUUAUUUCACAGGGAAAACAAAAAUAGGAGAAUGUUUUUGGCUAUUCUCUCCCGGAUUAGGAGUAGAAUGUUUUUGGGUGGUUCUGGAGAUGGAAAUGGAUGGAUAUAUGUAGAUGGUACUUCUGGAGUAGAAGUAGCAUGUGUGAGUGAACGUGCAAGUGAAUCUUGAUUUAACCACAUGACAAGCUCCUAAGGGUCUACACAGCUUGACCACACUCAAUGCUCAUAAGCAGUAAAAAGUAAAUGUGUGGUUCAUAGUCUAACAAGCAUGUAUAUAUGGCUGUGGUAGGAAUUUAAACUCUCAUCAUACAGGAACUCAUCAUGCAACAUUUUAAAGAUUUUCAAAGAUAAAAUUCUCCAGAAUUCUAGCAUCUCUAAGAACCGAUAAACAGCAGCUCAACCUUCCCAUAUCAUAUCCGUUAACGACUUAGACUUCAGAUCAAGUACUCUUCCCAUAAGUUCAGGUUUAGAGCAAAUCUUAGUUAAUAAUAGUCAUGCCUAUACUUGAGAGAGAUUUCAAUUUUUAGAACUAGUCAUGGUAGAGCAACUAUUCAUCAUUUCCAUGUGAGAGCUUAUCAUGAGGGUUCAUCGCAAACUUUAUUUAUUUAUUUAUUUAGCAAACUAAGCAAAGAUAUAUAUAUAAGCACAAAAUCUUUAUUUGGGUUUUUAUGAUUAUGCAUCUUUUUAUUAUUUGAGUAAAGUAUAAAGAUGAGUAGAACACUUAGCUGGAUAAAUGGGGGUGCUCUCCCCCAAGCUGGAUUUUGACGUAAUCUCUUCUGAUGUAGCUAAGUGGCGGAGGUGUAUUUGAAUGUCGGCAGCAUCCUGACAGCGAUUAGGAUGUCCUUCAUCUACUAGUCUUCUUUGAUCCUUAAAUUCUGUGGAGCUCAAAUAGACAACAAAGCUUUGUGGAACUAGUUAAGUGUUAGCAUAAAUAUCUAGCCUUUAUCAUGUUGAGCCUCCUCAAUAAAUGUUACUCUCUUUAGUAGGAUCUUAAUUUUAUUUUUAUAAUUUUAUUUUUAUAGGACAUAAAUAUAUUUAUUUUAUUUUUAUGCCACCACAGUAAAUGUACUUAUGGGUUUUAUGCCAUGAGCAUACUCACAUGGGGCUUACUAUUUUUAACAUUUUUAUUUUAUUUUCAAGAUGAUAUGAACCUGAUUAGCUAAGCAAACUAUUUUAAAUAAUUGAAAGAAAAAAAGAUAACUACCAAGUUUACCUCUUGGCAAGGCGUUCGGUGUUUUUAAGUCCUCCGAACGGGACUCUCCAUUUCCUGAGUCAUUCUGGGAUUCGCUGGAUGGCAUAGUCGGUGGUUCCGACGGUGCUUCCUCUUCGUGUAUAACUAUCUUCUUUCUCCACACCUGACUUGGUGCUACGGUCUCCUCAGGACAGUUCUGUUCAAGUUGUAUGUCUUCAGAUCUUACCACUUCUCCUUCGUAGUCUGCCCAUCCGUCCUUGAUGAUUUGCCUCCUCUGGUUGCGGUUGCGUUGUCUUCUUCUUGUCCUGACCUGCUUAGAGUGUUCAACUAUAUAGUUAGGGUCAGUAAAACAGUGGCGUACCUUCUCUGAGGGGAAGUCUAUGUGGACUUCUCUGGUUCCAAUGUAUAUGAUUGCUUUAAUGGUGCUAAAGAACGGUCUUCCAAGGAUGAUGGGUGGAUCGUACUCGUCUUCUCCCAUGUCAAUAACCUUCAAUCUUUCAGAAUGUCUGAUCUGCCAUCUGGAGCUGAAUGUAUGUUGGUUGUAGGGACAUGGUUCCAUGCAGGAGCUGAUAAGUGAUUGCGCCAUUAUGUUGACGUUAGAUCCGAUGUCGUAGAGUGUCUUCUGAAAAGAAUAUCCAUUGAUUGUGCACUCGAUGCUUGGGACACCAGGGUCGUCCUUCUUGAUCAAGAAAGGUGACUUGAGUUGACGAUCUUGACCUCCUUGAGCUGCAGUGACCAUCUUAGCUGACUCGGUACACAUCUGCUUGUUCUUGUUCCUCAUGUUGGUCCUGUUCCUUGGUACAUGUCGGGAUUGCUCUGGGAUUUGUGUAGUCUUGUUCUUGAAGGAAAACAUCUCCUUCUUCCCCUUGAUGUAGAAACUGAUCUUGGCAGCACUAGCGUAGAUGACAGCUCCCGAGGUGUUCAGGAAUGGCUUCCCCUAGGUAUAAUGUUGACGAUGGAGCCAAAGUCGCAGAGUGCUUCUAGGAAGUCCACCAUGCCGAUGGAGAUUGGGAUGACGAGGCAUCCUAGAUUAUCUCUCUUGACCGGCAUAAGGUCAGUAAUUACUUCCACAACGGGGUUACUCCAGUAGUUACAUCCUCAAGCAUCUCAGGGCAGUGUUUGCAUGAGUGUCCAGUAUCUCCAGCGUGUUUGUGCUCAUAUAUCUAGGUUCUUCACUUGGUGGAGUCUGGGAGUUGUAAAACUCCUUCAUAUUUUGCUCGAAGUGUACCUGCUCAUAGAGACAAGGCAGAGAUCAAGUGCAUGGGCCCUGUUGGUGGAAAACACCAACAGAACCAAAAGUGUAUUUGCUCUUCUCUAUCCUUAAGCAUAGUGAGCAAGACACAGUUGAUGGAUAAUA
Molecule: long non-coding RNA, 7588 nt
Filed under: Sorghum bicolor (sorghum)
Lineage: Eukaryota; Viridiplantae; Streptophyta; Magnoliopsida; Poales; Poaceae
Description: long non-coding RNA (SBIC_LNC010059)
Source: RNAcentral